UACGGAGGAUGCGAGCGUUGUCCGGAAUUACUGGGUGUAAAGGGAGCGUAGGCGGGGAUGCAAGUUGGGUGUCAAAACUACCGGCUCAACCGAUAGUCGCACUCAAAACUGCAGCUCUUGAGUGAAGUAGAGGCAGGCGGAAUUCCUAGUGUAGCGGUGAAAUGCGUAGAUAUUAGGAAGAACACCAGUGGCGAAGGCGGGUUACUGGACGACAACUGACGGUGAGGCGCGAAAGCGUGGGGAGCAAACAGG
This 252-nucleotide ribosomal RNA is filed under the name uncultured Ruminococcus sp. RNAcentral describes it as "partial 16S ribosomal RNA". It matches the Rfam family "Bacterial small subunit ribosomal RNA", at positions 524 to 776 of the family's 1533-position model. Lineage: Bacteria; Bacillati; Bacillota; Clostridia; Eubacteriales; Oscillospiraceae. The record is from RNAcentral.